Molecule: ribosomal RNA, 440 nt
Filed under: uncultured bacterium
Lineage: Bacteria
Description: bacterial SSU rRNA
Rfam family: Bacterial small subunit ribosomal RNA
Source: RNAcentral
CCUACGGGAGGCACCAGUGGGGAAUAUUGGACAAUGGGCGAAAGCCUGAUCCAGCAAUGCCGCGUGUGUGAAGAAGGUCUUCGGAUUGUAAAGCACUUUCGACGGGGACGAUGAUGACGGUACCCGUAGAAGAAGCCCCGGCUAACUUCGUGCCAGCAGCCGCGGUAAUACGAAGGCGGCUAGCGUUGCUCGGAAUGACUGGGCGUAAAGGGCGCGUAGGCGGUUUAUGCAGUCAGAUGUGAAAUCCCCGGGCUUAACCUGGGAACUGCAUUUGAGACGCAUAGACUAGAGGUCGAGAGAGGCGUGUGGAAUUCCCAGUGCAGAGGUGAAAUUCGUAGAUAUUGGGAAGAACACCGGUGGCGAAGGCGGCAACCUGGCUCGAUACUGACGCUGAGGCGCGAAAACGUGGGGAGCAAAUAGGAUUAGAUACCCGAGUAGUC